CCCAGCUGUAGGCAGCUACCUAGGUUUCCUUUAUACCUAGGCAAGUGUUACACUGCUGGGAGAACAGCAGCCAAUAGCUGGUUGGCAUUCUGGCCUGGUUCAUGCCAACUCU
Cricetulus griseus (Chinese hamster) is the source of this 112-nucleotide small nucleolar RNA. Its record names the gene SNORA74. It matches the Rfam family "Small nucleolar RNA SNORA74". Rfam says of the family: U19 belongs to the H/ACA class of snoRNAs. snoRNAs bind a number of proteins (including dyskerin, Gar1p and Nop10p in the case of the H/ACA class) to form snoRNP complexes. This class are thought to guide the sites of modification of uridines to pseudouridines by forming direct base pairing interactions with substrate RNAs. Lineage: Eukaryota; Metazoa; Chordata; Mammalia; Rodentia; Cricetidae. The record is from Ensembl.